CCCUUAGAUGUUCUGGGCCGCACGCGCGCUACACUGACGAAUGCAACGAGCUUAUAACCUUGGCCGAAAGGUCUGGGUAAUCUCCAAAUUUCGUCGUGAUGGGGAUAGAUUAUUGCAAUUAUUAAUCUUCAACGAGGAAUGCCUAGUAAGCGCAAGUCAUCAGCUUGCGUUGAUUACGUCCCUGCCCUUUAUACACACCGCCCGUCGCUCCUACCGAUUGAAUGGUCCGGUGAAGCGUUCGGACCGUGGCCUUUGGACGGUUCGCCGUCUGUUGGCUGCGGGAAGUUCGUUAAACCUUAUCAUUUAGAGGAAGGAGAANUCGUAACA
Molecule: ribosomal RNA, 327 nt
Filed under: uncultured eukaryote
Lineage: Eukaryota
Description: partial 18S ribosomal RNA
Rfam family: Eukaryotic small subunit ribosomal RNA
Source: RNAcentral